GCACUUGGUUUAUACAAACUACCAGUGAAACCAGAAGUUGCAUUAUUUGAACAAAGUAUAUUACAUGUUGGGUUCAUGUUGUCUACUUGGUUUGAAGAACAAAAUUAGUUGUGCUGCUUUCAAACAAUUAUGUUCAGCAAAUUGCUCUCUCAAAUAUUUUACAAUUAAUUUUAGAUUUUUUUCUGACUUGAAUUAGUAAAUUGUCUCAAGCUUGUUUUGAAAGAAAAAAGCUGCACGCAGUCAUUUGUUCCGUCUUAUCUCUUUGGUCUGAGAUCUGACGCUUGCUCAUUUCUGAGUGAAGUCAAUUCCUUAAUUGUUGUACAUACAAUUUUGUGUAUGUGUUCUUUGUUGGUGGUUUGGUGGUGGGUUUUCUGAGUGAAAUUUGCUGACUUGCACAGAUUUGUCUAAUUACAGGUGGUUGUUGAAUAUAUUUAAAUGGCAGCUGGGUGUCCUUAGAAAAUAAACACACAACGUUCAUAUUCUGAACCAUGUUCAGUUGCUUAUGUGGCAUUGCCUAUAGAGACCAGCUGUCCCACGUGCAUGCACAUCAAGCCAGGACUCUUUAGAUGGUUCAUGACCCAAUAAAGAGAGCCAAAGCAAGACAGUGGGAAAGUUAACUUCUUUGCUUUUAGCUGCUCCUAUAGGACAGCAAAUACUGACUCAGCACAAAAGCCUCAGCUGCUUCAGAAACCGCUUGGAAUGUUUGGCUGUGACUUGUCAGCUAAGCAGCUUCCAUAAGAAGGCUUCCUUUUCUUGCCAAACCUUCAUGUAUUGGAACAAAGCUUGUUUCAGAGCAGGCUUUGUCUUCAUUUAGCUUGGUUAUUAACUUAGGGAGAUUAAGAAAAGAUACAGAGACAGACUUCAAAAAAGGGGCUUUGUUGGCCUGCUGAAGGGUGAGAAUUAAAGCCACAAUGAAAAAGAAUGGAGAAUAAAAUAAAACUGUGAAACAAAAUGUUGGUGGAGGAAAGAUCUUUCGCUCUGAGCUGCAGUCACAUGCUACAGUACAAUCUUUUAUAGCAUAAUGUUUCCAGAAGCUGGCUUUUCCAAACGGGUUAUUGUUGCACUGAGAUGAAAUUAUUCUUAUUUAGUUUCAUACUCUAGUAUCUGAGAGAGAUACAAUGGGAAGGAAUAUUCAGAUUGUGGUUUUCAAAAGGGAUGUUGACACCUAUCAGUUGCUUGUGCAAAUUUUCAUUUGCACGUCCUUGAUUUAUAAAAGAAAACAUUCUGUUCACAGAUUGCAUCCUGUUCUGUUAUUAAAUUGAAUGUAUUUAAUCUUGGCCUUACAGAAUUUGAAUGCUCCUGAAUGGCUACAAAUCAUGUAUUUAAAGAGCAUCUUGAGUAAGUAAAUUCCUUAAUGUUUUUAAUAUAUAUUGUCUAGAACAAUAGAGGCAUCCUGGAGUUAAUACAUAUAUGUGUGUGGCAGAUGCAAGGCCUGCAUGAGGAUGUUCAAAUCCACAUCAAGGCUUGUAUCAGCUCAGCAUGAUACAGCAGUCGAGACUGGCUGUUUGCAGAGCAUUGGCCAGCAUUAACAAAAAUAAAAAAAUUAAAAAAAAAAUGCUGGGUUUGCAUUCCACAGUGCUGUUGUAAGUCUGCAUCUGUAAACCUUCCUUCAUGUGGGUGCACAUCAUUCUUCAAGCACAUCCUUGGUUUAGACUAACUGUGACUCACAUGGAUAAUGUGUUAAUCUGACAGCUAAUCUUGUUAAAAGAUGGAUUAACUACUCUGUGCACAUGACAGAAUAUCUAGCAAGGAGCAUGAUUUUCCUUUUCAAAUACUCUGUUUUCUUCUGGUGGAGUCCUUUUACUCACAGGGACCAUCUGCUGAUCAAGAAUGGGCUGUACUUACUACUGCUUCUUGAAAAAAAGGUGAUUCCUUAUGUCCAUAUAACUUCAAAAAUCUUCCUGAGUUUUUUCUCCCUGCUAAUUCUUCUUGACAUUUUCAUAUCAUCAGAGUUAACUAUCUUGCCCAUAAAGCCAUUGAGGAUGCAAAAACAUCUGUGAGCCAUGCCCAGUAGUUAAAUGCUUCCCAAAUCAGUAUUAACGGUCAGAGUUUUGUUUUGUUUGUUUCAUGUUUUUAUUUUUUAAGUCUUUAAGCUCAGGGUGGAUUUCUGAUGAGGUGAAUUUAUACUUUGUAAUUACUAGCUUUGUCUGAAACAAAAUGUGAGAGUAAUUAAAUCUGGUUUUCAGAAGAGAAAAUUGUCUGCGAUACAUUGCAACUAUAGGCUCAGAAAUGACACAGGAAACUUUGUGUAAAACAGGAAUGAGGUAAAGGUCAUUCCAUCUGCUGUGAAGGUACUAAAACUAGUCUUGCUGGCCUAUGUGAAAUUCAGAAAAGAGUAGAUUGGAGCAGAAAACUGUACACAAAUACUGAGUAUACUAAAUAUCUUCUAUUCUUGGAAGAAGCAAUAUGGACAACUGAAAAUUGGCACCCAGUAGUGGAAUUACAAAUAUGUAAUUGAUAACUAGAGAUUCUUUGUCAUGACUAACAUUAUAAACUGCUGCAUUCUCUACUUAGUGAGAAGAAGGACAAGCUCCCACAUUGUUUUCAUAUGCAUAAAUUAUAAAACUCGAAGUCUGUCGCAUCAAGUAUUGAAAAUAUAUAUUACAACAGUUGUAGUUUGUUAUUGCAAUGCCUGUUUCACUUGUAGUAGUUUCUGAAAUGAAAAGAAAUCUCUAUUUAAAUUUUCCCAUUACCUUUUACAGUAAAUGCUGCAGCGUACUGUUUUGUACUUUCACUGUCAGAGACUUCCUUGCACAAGGCUGCAUACAUCCAUGUGUUUGGAAAUUUGCUUAUGUAUUCUCUGCCAAGCAGGGUUUCGCUUCUUCUAUAGUGAUCAGAUAUUAGUUUGACUCUGCGUGGAAACGUGAAGUAAAUCAGUGAUGAAUUUUUCCAUAUGUCUUGCACAAAAUCCAGGAAUGAUUAUCUAAUGGAAGCCAGAACACCAGAAAAACAAGUUCUACUGCCAUAUAUUAAAGAAAGAACAGCAGAUAUUAAAUAAAUAAAUGCUAUGAAGUGUUGAACUUAAUAAAAUGAAUUGUUAAGCUGUUUUCUUUUGGAAUUUUCUUUUAUUUGGCAACUGAAUGACUUCAAAUGUGAAAUUAACUUGUUUCACCUAAUUAUGUAACAUCUUUUCUUCAGGGUGUAGAAGCUGCGGAUAUGCAGUUCAGUCUGCGAGCCACCAGGCACCAAAGAUAUGCUGCCCAGUUAAAUCAGAUUUCUUUACAGUUGUGAUCCAAGCCAUGAAGUGGAAACUCAAAAUGUGAGUUGGAAUUUGACAUAGGUUUUCCAUUGUUUGGAACAGUCAGUCAGAAGAGUGAACACUCACUUGUGAGGGAAAGGGAAACAGAGUGUUCCUACAGCAGAUAAAGCAGAGAGGCAUAAAAAUUCCUCAGCCUGGCCUGCAGCUCAACUAAAGAAAAUAGAUGCAGUGCUAGAUACUUGGAAAUUUUCAAGGUACACAGGAUUAAAGGGAACACCUGAGUUCCACAUCUGUUUCUUUUCAAAUGGAAAAUGAAGUGGAGAAAGGUACCUUUUCCUCUGGACUUGCUGACUGCACAGCCUGGCUGAAUGCCCAUCAUACUGCCUUAUCUUGCUCUUGUGUCGGAGUUCAGGCGCUAACAGGUGGUACCAGAUCGAUGCUGAGCAGUACUUCUGGGGAGGUGACACUCCGCCCUAGUACUUUGCUUACUGAUUUUCAGUUUCUCACAUGAAGCAGAAGCUAAUCAUGAUGUCUCAUCAUCAAAGUUAUUUCUCACUGGACUACUCAGAGGUGUUGUUGUCAAACCUUCCCAGCUACAUUGGUUAAUCCAUUCCAAGUGCCAGUAGUUAUCCUGAGCUCCAUGCUGACUGCUAUGACAUGAAACUUCAGAAUCUGUGCACCUCUGAUGUCAUCAGGAGCCAUUGAUGUCAGAGCGGCUUCUGCGCAGCGUGAAGGUCCGUGUCAACUCAUCACAUUACCUCUGCAUGAAAGGUAUCGAUUUAAUCCAUCUGAUGGUAGGCCUCUUAGAAAUGUAAUUGUCCACUGGAAGUACAAUUGUGCAAAUGGACCCAGUAAAAGGCAGCAGUCUUUCAAAGUAAUGUUUUACAUUACUCAGAUCAUUCCUGCUUGUUUUCUUCCUCCACUUG
Gallus gallus (chicken) is the source of this 4125-nucleotide long non-coding RNA. RefSeq lists it as uncharacterized. The record is from RefSeq and is a predicted model, not a curated record. Lineage: Eukaryota; Metazoa; Chordata; Aves; Galliformes; Phasianidae. The transcript is spliced from 6 exons.